GUAGGGGGCAAACGUUUGCUCGGAAUUACUGGGCGUAAAGCGUGCGCAGGCGGUUGUGCAAGACAGAUGUGAAAUCCCCGGGCUCAACCUGGGAAUUGCAUUUGUGUCUGCACGGCUAGAGUGUGUCAGAGGGGGGUAGAAUUCCACGUGUAGCAGUGAAAUGCGUAGAGAUGUGGAGGAAUACCGACGGCGAAGGCAGCCCCCUGGGAUAACACUGACGCUCAUGCACGAAAGCGUGGGGGGAGCAAACAGGAUUAGAUACCCUGGUAGUCCACGCCCGUAAACGAUGAUCACUGGAUGUCGGUUCUGUUUACAGAAUCGGUUUCGUAGCUAACGCGUUAAGUGAUCCGUCUGGGAGUACGGUCGCAAGACUA
Molecule: ribosomal RNA, 374 nt
Filed under: uncultured organism
Description: partial 16S ribosomal RNA
Rfam family: Bacterial small subunit ribosomal RNA
Source: RNAcentral